Molecule: ribosomal RNA, 492 nt
Filed under: uncultured bacterium
Lineage: Bacteria
Description: bacterial SSU rRNA
Rfam family: Bacterial small subunit ribosomal RNA
Source: RNAcentral
CUGGCUCAGGAUGAACGUUGGCGGUGUGCCUAAUACAUGCAAGUCGAACGGUGAUCUUAUGGGAGCUUGCUUCCAUUUGAUUAUAGUGGCGAACGGGUGAGUAACGCGUUGGUGAUCUGCCUCGAAGUGUGGAAUAACGUUCCGAAAGGGACGCUAAUACCGCAUGUGCUCAAGGUUUUUAGAAAGCUUUGAGUAAAGGAUUUAUUCGCUUCGAGAGGAGCCUGCGUCCCAUCAGCUAGUUGGUAAGGUAACGGCUUACCAAGGCUAUGACGGGUAGGGGACCUGAGAGGGUGGCCCCCCACAAUGGAACUGAAACACGGUCCAUACACCUACGGGUGGCAGCAGUAGGGAAUAUUAGAAAUGGGCGAAAGCCUGAAUCUAGCGACACCGCGUGUGCGAUGAAGGCCUUCGGGUUGUAAAGCACUUUUUGGAAGGAAUAGGAAGGAAGGUACUUCCAGAAUAAGUCUCGGCUAACUACGUGCCAGCCGCUGC